RNAcentral lists this ribosomal RNA (216 nucleotides) under uncultured bacterium. RNAcentral's name for it is "partial 16S ribosomal RNA". It matches the Rfam family "Bacterial small subunit ribosomal RNA", at positions 524 to 739 of the family's 1533-position model. The record is from RNAcentral.
UACGUAGGGUGCAAGCGUUAAUCGGAAUUACUGGGCGUAAAGCGUGCGCAGGCGGUUAUGUAAGACAGAGGUGAAAUCCCCGGGCUCAACCUGGGAACUGCCUUUGUGACUGCAUAGCUAGAGUACGGCAGAGGGGGAUGGAAUUCCGCGUGUAGCAGUGAAAUGCGUAGAUAUUAGGAGGAACACCGGUGGCGAAGGCGGCUGCCUGGACCGAUA